GAUGAACGCUGGCGGCGUGCCUAAUACAUGCAAGUCGAGCGAACAGAUAAGGAGCUUGCUCCUUUGACGUUAGCGGCGGACGGGUGAGUUACACGUGGAUAACCUACCUAUAAGACUGGGAUAACUUCGGGAAACCGGAGCUAAUACCGGAUAACAUAUUGAACCGCAUGGUUCAAUAGUGAAAGGCGGCUUUGCUGUCACUUAUAGAUGGAUCCGCGCCGUAUUAGCUAGUUGGUAAGGUAACGGCUUACCAAGGCAACGAUACGUAGCCGACCUGAGAGGGUGAUCGGCCACACUGGAACUGAGACACGGUCCAGACUCCUACGGGAGGCAGCAGUAGGGAAUCUUCCGCAAUGGGCGAAAGCCUGACGGAGCAACGCCGCGUGAGUGAUGAAGGUCUUCGGAUCGUAAAACUCUGUUAUCAGGGAAGAACAAAUGUGUAAGUAACGGUGCACAUCUUGACGGUACCUGAUCAGAAAGCCACGGCUAACUACGU
Molecule: ribosomal RNA, 496 nt
Filed under: uncultured bacterium
Lineage: Bacteria
Description: partial 16S ribosomal RNA
Rfam family: Bacterial small subunit ribosomal RNA
Source: RNAcentral